Tigriopus californicus is the source of this 1242-nucleotide long non-coding RNA. RefSeq lists it as uncharacterized. Lineage: Eukaryota; Metazoa; Arthropoda; Copepoda; Harpacticoida; Harpacticidae. The transcript has 2 exons. The record is from RefSeq and is a predicted model, not a curated record.
AACAUGCAUGAGAAUAUGAACGUGUAUCAGCGCGUCUAGCUGUCUUUCAUUUUCUGAUUACCACUUGCUGGAUAACGUUUGGCUCUCAUGAUGUCGGAUCGGUCGAACUCGUCGUCCAUGAUGGCAAAUUCAGACAAAUUUCCUCCCAUCACCAAUCACUGGCUGGAAAAUAGACUUGGGGCCAGACUCCAAAUUUCAAAUUUAGUCACACUGACGACGGGCAAUUCACCAACUAGAAAACAUCGUCAGCUGAUUGGCCCUGGCGAUUUUGAAUGCUGUGAUGAAUGUCAAUAUUUUCUAACAGUGGAUAGAUUUUGGCUCGAAAGGCCUUCAGCCAUUAAGGUAAAUGCAUUGUGAGGAGUCCGUUGCACACUAAUUCCUGUCUAACUUGAUGAACGUCAGUCAGAAAUAAUCUAAUCCUACCCCAAAGGUGUACUAAUUGUCAUGCUCAUCCCUCGAAACUGUUUCCGAUUCUACAAAACGAACAUGCGACAAUUUAAUUUGAAUUCAUUCAUCCCAAGGUUCAAAAAUAAACAAUCCCAUGCUAGCGUGUUCACAUGACACGCCUCAUUUCCAAUGGUUCAGCCAAGCUCAAAGAUUCGAGCAUUCCAGGGGGCAAAUUCGCCCAAAUCCAAAACUCAUCAUUUUGAAUAUUGAAGUUGGCAAUUGCAUGCAAGAACAACCUCGAACUCGGAGCCUAGACGCAACUGCUAAUCUGUCUCAUAUACAGAACAUUCGAUUUCUGAAGAUGAAAUCCGGGCACUUGGAUCAAUGGCCUGCUUGCAUGGGUCACAAUGACAUCCUCGUCAUGCUGUUUCUCUAUUUUGGAAUACUAAACCUGGCGAUUGUGAAGUGAAGUGAUUGUGGCUCCUGGUUAUUCCUCUCGAGGAUUAAUCAUCAUCCCAUGCACAAUGCAUCAAAGUUCAUUAGCAAAAACUUGACAAGAAUAUUGGCAAUCCGUGUGGGUUUUGAGACCAUGAUAGCGAAGACCCCACCCAAUCACCCAAACCAGCCACAACCUCCACAAUGGUUGGUAGAUGUCCUGAUUCAGGGGGACGAGCUAACACGCCAAGAGAUAGUCUACAUUGAUGACAGAAAUUCUGGGCUCACCAACCAACCAACCAACCCCCGACCCUGCCCUAAUUACUCCCAAGAUCGAUUGAAAGUAUUUUGGAUAUUUGGCUACAAGUGGCAAAGGAACCAUAUUUAAGUUCACGUUCCUCAUAAACAGUCUGAAAUGGU